This 225-nucleotide ribosomal RNA is filed under the name uncultured fungus. RNAcentral describes it as "partial 28S ribosomal RNA". It matches the Rfam family "Eukaryotic large subunit ribosomal RNA", at positions 1 to 209 of the family's 3401-position model. The record is from RNAcentral. Lineage: Eukaryota; Fungi.
GAUUGACCUCGGAUCAGGUAGGGAUACCCGCUGAACUUAAGCAUAUCAAUAAGCGGAGGAAAAGAAACCAACAGGGAUUGCCUUUAUGUAACCUUGCAGUGAAGCCGGCAAAAAGCUCAAAUUUGAAAAUCGGUGCCCCACAUAUGUCGAAUUGUUAAUUUUGGAGGGACAACUUCCGGCUGAACCACAUUCGUAAGGUUUCCCUUUGGAACAGGACGUCAUAAA